UGUCUGGAUGCAGCGUGCUUAGUGGAGCAUCAUGGCUUGCGCAUAACUAUUGCUGAUGCACGGUUUUGCAAGCUAUUGGAUCGUUUCCUCAUUCGCAGCCUAGGAAAAUCACACGAAGUUUUGAUCACUAUCGAAGAAGGAUCGAUUGGAGGAUUCAGGUCUCAUGUUGUUCAGUUCAUGGCCCUUGAUGGUCUUCUAGAUAGAAAAUUGAAGUGGAGGCCAAUGGUUCUUCCAAAUCGUUAUAUUGACCACGGAUCGCUUGCUCAUCAGUUGUUUGAAGCUGGCCUUGCUCCAACUUAGAUAGCAGCAACUAUGUUCAACAUACUUAGACAGACAAGGGAGGCACUAGAGGUUAUGUCAUAAAAAGAGAAAUAUCAAGAGGGGAUAAAUUUUCACUCCCCACAAUAUAGACAUGUUAACGAUAUAAAUCACCUUGUGUAACACAAACAAGGUACUAUUAGAAUGU
This is a non-coding RNA of Arachis ipaensis, 466 nucleotides long. Lineage: Eukaryota; Viridiplantae; Streptophyta; Magnoliopsida; Fabales; Fabaceae. The record is from RefSeq and is a predicted model, not a curated record.